This 1617-nucleotide ribosomal RNA is filed under the name Salmonella enterica. RNAcentral's name for it is "bacterial LSU rRNA". It matches the Rfam family "Bacterial large subunit ribosomal RNA", at positions 1223 to 2822 of the family's 2925-position model. The record is from RNAcentral. Lineage: Bacteria; Pseudomonadati; Pseudomonadota; Gammaproteobacteria; Enterobacterales; Enterobacteriaceae.
GUUGGGUAGGGGAGCGUUCUGUAAGCCUGUGAAGGUGGCCUGUGAGGGUUGCUGGAGGUAUCAGAAGUGCGAAUGCUGACAUAAGUAACGAUAAAGCGGGUGAAAAGCCCGCUCGCCGGAAGACCAAGGGUUCCUGUCCAACGUUAAUCGGGGCAGGGUGAGUCGACCCCUAAGGCGAGGCCGAAAGGCGUAGUCGAUGGGAAACGGGUUAAUAUUCCCGUACUUGGUGUUACUGCGAAGGGGGGACGGAGAAGGCUAUGUUGGCCGGGCGACGGUUGUCCCGGUUUAAGCGUGUAGGUGUGUGUUCCAGGUAAAUCCGGUUCACUUUAACACUGAGGCGUGACGACGAGGCACUACGGUGCUGAAGCAACAAAUGCCCUGCUUCCAGGAAAAGCCUCUAAGCAUCAGGUAACAUCAAAUCGUACCCCAAACCGACACAGGUGGUCAGGUAGAGAAUACCAAGGCGCUUGAGAGAACUCGGGUGAAGGAACUAGGCAAAAUGGUGCCGUAACUUCGGGAGAAGGCACGCUGACACGUAGGUGAAGUGAUUUACUCAUGGAGCUGAAGUCAGUCGAAGAUACCAGCUGGCUGCAACUGUUUAUUAAAAACACAGCACUGUGCAAACACGAAAGUGGACGUAUACGGUGUGACGCCUGCCCGGUGCCGGAAGGUUAAUUGAUGGGGUCAGCGCAAGCGAAGCUCCUGAUCGAAGCCCCGGUAAACGGCGGCCGUAACUAUAACGGUCCUAAGGUAGCGAAAUUCCUUGUCGGGUAAGUUCCGACCUGCACGAAUGGCGUAAUGAUGGCCAGGCUGUCUCCACCCGAGACUCAGUGAAAUUGAACUCGCUGUGAAGAUGCAGUGUACCCGCGGCAAGACGGAAAGACCCCGUGAACCUUUACUAUAGCUUGACACUGAACAUUGAGCCUUGAUGUGUAGGAUAGGUGGGAGGCUUUGAAGUGUGGACGCCAGUCUGCAUGGAGCCGACCUUGAAAUACCACCCUUUAAUGUUUGAUGUUCUAACGUGGACCCGUUACCCGGGUUGCGGACAGUGUCUGGUGGGUAGUUUGACUGGGGCGGUCUCCUCCUAAAGAGUAACGGAGGAGCACGAAGGUUGGCUAAUCCUGGUCGGACAUCAGGAGGUUAGUGCAAUGGCAUAAGCCAGCUUGACUGCGAGCGUGACGGCGCGAGCAGGUGCGAAAGCAGGUCAUAGUGAUCCGGUGGUUCUGAAUGGAAGGGCCAUCGCUCAACGGAUAAAAGGUACUCCGGGGAUAACAGGCUGAUACCGCCCAAGAGUUCAUAUCGACGGCGGUGUUUGGCACCUCGAUGUCGGCUCAUCACAUCCUGGGGCUGAAGUAGGUCCCAAGGGUAUGGCUGUUCGCCAUUUAAAGUGGUACGCGAGCUGGGUUUAGAACGUCGUGAGACAGUUCGGUCCCUAUCUGCCGUGGGCGCUGGAGAACUGAGGGGGGCUGCUCCUAGUACGAGAGGACCGGAGUGGACGCAUCACUGGUGUUCGGGUUGUCAUGCCAAUGGCACUGCCCGGUAGCUAAAUGCGGAAGAGAUAAGUGCUGAAAGCAUCUAAGCACGAAACUUGCCCCGAGAUGAGUUCUCCCUGAGACU